This is a non-coding RNA of Cricetulus griseus (Chinese hamster), 1265 nucleotides long. Lineage: Eukaryota; Metazoa; Chordata; Mammalia; Rodentia; Cricetidae. The record is from RefSeq and is a predicted model, not a curated record.
CACCCUGCCGCGUUGCCCCACCCCAGCACCCGGUCUUGCCCCGCCCACGUUCCGAGUGCUCAAUGGUUGCUUUAGCUUUUCUCGCUCGGCUCCUAUGGGAGCGCGUCUCUCCCCAAGACGCUGUGGUAGCUUGUUCUCUAGAACUCCCUGCAGGAGGUGGCCACAAACCCAGUGUUGGGAGUGACGAUGCCCCGUUGCACCGCUGCACACAAAACUGCAUUGAUUUCAGAACUGUCUGGAGCAAUAUACACCUUCCCAGUGCAGGAGCUAGAGUGGAUGAGUCUGGGGCCAGAAGAGGAAGAUUUUCUGCAGUGACUCAAGGCAGAGCUGGCAUAUUAAGUACUGCUUAAUAUUGUUGUUCAUUUGUUUGCAAGGUAUUGAAGUGACUUGUACAAAGCAGAUUUAUUAGGAUAUUCAUAGAAUUGAUAGGGUAAAAAUGGCAUAAGCUGGGGCCACCAAGGGAUCUAGGAAACAGAAAUGAAUGUAAACUGCCACUGUAAGAAUGGAUGAACACCAGUGGAUUUCUCUGCUCUUAGGACACACUGCUCAUGAUUUCAAAGUCAAGGAGAGUUUCCUUUUGUCUUGAUUUAGGGUAGGACCUGAUUUAUAGUCCCAGCGAGACCACAUCGUGGGGAGAGUAAUGCUUCAAAGAAAAAUCUUGCUCUUCCCCCAGGAAGAGUCAUUACAUAUAUUAGUCCAAAUGGUAGUGGCAAGGACAGGCACCCACUUAAGGCAGGAAAGGGAGAGUGCUGUUGAGAGUCCCAGAAGACAAAGGAUUUAAUUGUUGAUUGGGAAACGCGUAUAUUCAACAUCAAACCUGUCUUUUCUCAAAGAAUGUGUUCCCUCUUCCUGUUUCCCUGAUUCAUUCAUUAAACAAGUAUUGGCUGGCUGGCUGCCUGUCCUGUUACAUGCAAAUUUCGAAUCCAGGACAACCAGCCUCAAAACCUAAGUAGUGCAAUGCAUCCCUUUGCUCUCAUAUUAGGUUACUUAUUAAGUUCUGUCAAUUACUUGUGCAUAGACAUGGACUUACACGUUAUAUGGAUAAGUAAUUUCUAAACAUGCUUUGACCAUGGAACUUGAAUGACCAUAAUAUUCAAAGGAAAUUAAAGCAUGUUAAAAAGAAAAAGAUGGGUUUCCUGUAUAAGUCUUGUGAUAACUCUUCUUGUUGACACACCUGGGAAGAGGAGAAUCUCAGUUGAGGAAUUACCAUCAGAUGGGCCUGUGACAGUGCCUAUGGGGCCUUUUCUUGAUUGUUAAUUGUUGGA